This is a long non-coding RNA of Dermacentor andersoni, 708 nucleotides long. RefSeq lists it as uncharacterized. NCBI's taxonomy places the organism in Eukaryota, Metazoa, Arthropoda, Arachnida, Ixodida, Ixodidae. The record is from RefSeq and is a predicted model, not a curated record.
UAAUACAACUACGUACGAAUAAACAAAUAGACCGCUUUAAAAACGGUAGCGUCUCUUGUAACAUUAUGGUACCUCUUGUGAUUGUCUCUUUUCCAGUCACACUAAUAAAAUAUAUUGCAGGUGGAGGUCCUCAAAACUAUGAAUUAGCUUCUCUUUGAAUGUUAUCCAUCCUAAUUGCUGCAGGCAAACUGAAUAUGUCAAUAUAAUGUGAUAUUCAUUGCAGUUUAUUAAGGACUUCGAAAUACUUGUCAAGGAAGAAGUGAGGCCAAGGUUAUCUACUCUGAUAUAUAAAACAGUUGAACUUGCAUUGAAACAGCGUGUGAAAUGUAAGGAGCAAGUGCUGCGCUUGCUGCUGGAAGCCUCUGAAGUGGACACAGCAAGACUUCGAACACGUCAUAUACAGACUGUGGCAGUACUUCAGACUCUGGCCCACAAUGUCCGGGAAUGUGCAGCGGUACAUAAUCUAUUUCUACAAAAAGGAGAAAAUGUCCCGGUGACGCCAUGCAUUCAAUACAAUGGCCCAGACCUCACAUGUGCGAGUAACCUCCUUCAUGUGAACCGAUAAAUCCUCUUCAGUGUCUCAAGCACAGAAGAAGGCAUAGCUGCACUAAUUGCCGCACGCUGGUUGCUGAACAUAGAGUACCCAUGCAAAGUCUUCAACAUUCUUGUUGCAGUGGAGUGGCUCCUCCUCGGUCAACGUGUCACAAC